This 253-nucleotide ribosomal RNA is filed under the name uncultured bacterium. RNAcentral describes it as "partial 16S ribosomal RNA". It matches the Rfam family "Bacterial small subunit ribosomal RNA", at positions 524 to 776 of the family's 1533-position model. The record is from RNAcentral.
UACGAAGGGGGCUAGCGUUGUUCGGAAUUACUGGGCGUAAAGCGCGCGCAGGCGGUCUUCCAAGUCAGUGGUGAAAGCCCGGAGCUCAACUCCGGAGGGUCGGUGGAUACUGCCAGUCUUGAAGGUGCUAGGGGGAGAUGGAAUUACCGGUGUAGCGGUGAAAUGCGUAGAUAUCGGUAGGAACACCAGUGGCGAAGGCGGUCUCCUGGGGCAUUCUUGACGCUGAGGCGCGAAAGCUGGGGGAGCAAACGGG